UGGCUCAGUUGGUAGAGCAUGGUGUUUGCAACGCCAAGGUUGUGGGUUCAAUUCCCAC
Molecule: transfer RNA, 58 nt
Filed under: Salmo salar (Atlantic salmon)
Lineage: Eukaryota; Metazoa; Chordata; Actinopteri; Salmoniformes; Salmonidae
Also listed under: 1 other name
Rfam family: tRNA
About the family: Transfer RNA (tRNA) molecules are approximately 80 nucleotides in length. Their secondary structure includes four short double-helical elements and three loops (D, anti-codon, and T loops). Further hydrogen bonds mediate the characteristic L-shaped molecular structure. tRNAs have two regions of fundamental functional importance: the anti-codon, which is responsible for specific mRNA codon recognition, and the 3' end, to which the tRNAs corresponding amino acid is attached (by aminoacyl-tRNA synthetases). tRNAs cope with the degeneracy of the genetic code in two manners: having more than one tRNA (with a specific anti-codon) for a particular amino acid; and 'wobble' base-pairing, i.e. permitting non-standard base-pairing at the 3rd anti-codon position.
Source: Rfam by way of RNAcentral